AGGUACCUAGUAUAAAUAAAAUAUUUGAUUUCGGCUCAAAAGUUCGUGGUUUGACUCCAUGGUUACCUA
RNAcentral lists this transfer RNA (69 nucleotides) under Gerres decacanthus (small Chinese silver-biddy). Its description in RNAcentral is "tRNA-Arg". It matches the Rfam family "tRNA". Rfam says of the family: Transfer RNA (tRNA) molecules are approximately 80 nucleotides in length. Their secondary structure includes four short double-helical elements and three loops (D, anti-codon, and T loops). The record is from RNAcentral. Lineage: Eukaryota; Metazoa; Chordata; Actinopteri; Gerreiformes; Gerreidae.